This is an RNA transcript of Otolemur garnettii (small-eared galago), 1857 nucleotides long. It is a transcript of the gene named actin-related protein 2/3 complex subunit 1B pseudogene, with no coding region annotated. The transcript has 2 exons. The record is from RefSeq and is a predicted model, not a curated record. Lineage: Eukaryota; Metazoa; Chordata; Mammalia; Primates; Galagidae.
AUGGGUGCUAAUGAGGAGGAAGGAACUCAUCAUUCGCGUCAACUGCCCAGAGUCCACGGCCGAAGAUCCUGCAGCAGCCAAGCGGCCGUGGCCUACCACAGCUUCCUGGUGGAGCUCAUCAGCUGCCACACCUGGAACAAGGACCGCACCCAAAUUGCCAUCUGCCCAAACAACCAUGAGGUGCACAUCUAUGAGAAGAGUGGGACCAAGUGGACCAAGGUGCAUGAGCUCAAGGAGCACAAUGGGCAGGUGACAGGCAUCGACUGGGCUCCUGAGAGUAACCGCAUCACAACCUGCGGCACAGAUCGCAACGCCUACGUGUGGACACUGAAGGGCUGCACAUGGAAGCCAGCCCUGGUCAUCCUGCAGAUUAACCAGGCUGCCCGCUGUGGGCAGUGGCUCCUGUGUUAUCUCCAUCCGUUAUUCUGAGCAGGAGAAUGACUGGUGGGUGUGCAAGCACAUCAAGAAGCCCAUCUGCUCCACUGUUCUCAGCCUGGACUGGCACCCCAACAACGUGCUCCUGGCUGCAGGCUCCUGUGAUUUCAAGUGCUGGAUCUUCUCAUCCUACAUCAAGGAGGUGGAGGAGAGGCCGGCAUCCACACCCUGGGGCUCCAAGAUGCCCUUUGGGGAGCUGAUGUUUGAAUCCAGCAGUAGCUGUGGCUGGGUGCAUGGCGUCUGCUUCUCAGUUAGCAGGAGCUGUGAGGUCUGGGUCAGUCAUGACAGCACUGUGUGCCUGGCUGAUGCUGACAAGAAGAUGGCCAUUGCAACCCUGACCUCUGAAACGCUGCCGCUGCUGGCACUGACCUUCAUCACAGAAAACAGCCUGGUGGCAGUGGGCCACAACUGCUUCCCAGUGCUCUUUACCUAUGAUAGCACAGCAGGGACACUGAGCUUCAGUGGGCAGCUGGACAUGCCCAAGCAGAGCUCUCAGCAGGGCUUGACGGCCCAUGAACGCUUCUAGAACCUAGACAAGAAGGCGAGCUCGGAGGGUGGCGCGUCCUCAGGCGCUGGCCUCAACUCACUGCACGAGAACAGCAUCAGCCAGAUCUCUAUGCUCAGUGGGGCAGGGCCACUGGCAUGGGUGGGGGUAGAGCAUCUGGGAUAUGAAGAGCUUGGAGUCAGCCUUGAAGGACCUCAAGAUCAAAUGACCCAUGAGGAGUAUGUUGCCUUCAUCCCAGCUGCUGGGGAAGUGGGGAGAGGGGAGCAGGGAGAUUAGGGUCGCUUUGCUGAAUGUUUCUAGGGUACUAGUAUGGGUCACUCACUAUAGGGGCUGCUUCUCAAAAGGGAAGGAGACAGGCCUCAAGCAGGGGCAUUGCAGAUAUCUUACCUAGUCAAGGAACAUGUGCCUUUUUCUUAAAUGCUUUCAUUUGUUGUAAAAAAUAUCCUCAGAGCACUAUGCUGGUCAUGAAUUGCUUCAAACAUGGAGGUAAUAAAAAUGCAGUGGUGGAAAAAAGAAAGAGUCUUUAUAACUCAGAUAGAAGCUGCCUCUUUUCCAUAAACUUUUUGUAGUUUGAAUUCCUUGGAAACUAGGUCUUAAAAUGCCCAUGAUUGUUAAGAGUUGUAAAAACUUAAUAACUAGCGCCUUCUUUUCUUCUUCUUGAGUUGAAAACCAGUCAGAGAGCAAUAGAGGACAGAUAAACUGAUAGAGUGUUCCCUCUCUCCCUGGCAAGAUGUGGGAUGCUUGUUUAUAUUUUACCUGUUUUGUAAAUGCAUGAAGGUUUUAUUGUCAUGACUCAGGAGUGGCCUUAAUGAACAACCUCUCUUGCUCAGUAAUGACUAGCAGAAGAAGGUUUAAAGUCACGUUUACCAAAUCCAAAUCAUCUCCCCCCCCUUCUCUUUCUACAAUAUUGCCAAGAA